AGUGAACGCUGGCGGUAGGCCUAACACAUGCAAGUCGAACGGCAGCACAGUAAGAGCUUGCUCUUACGGGUGGCGAGUGGCGGACGGGUGAGGAAUACAUCGGAAUCUACUUUUUCGUGGGGGAUAACGUAGGGAAACUUACGCUAAUACCGCAUACGACCUACGGGUGAAAGCAGGGGAUCUUCGGACCUUGCGCGAUUGAAUGAGCCGAUGUCGGAUUAGCUAGUUGGCGGGGUAAAGGCCCACCAAGGCGACGAUCCGUAGCUUGUCUGAGAGGAUGAUCGGCCACACUGGAACUGAGACACGGUCAAGACUCCUCCGGGAGGCAGCAGUGGGGAAUAUUGGACAAUGGGGGCAAGCCUGAUCCAGCCAGACCGCGUAGGUGAAGAAGGCCUUCGGGUUGUAAAGCCCUUUUGUUGGGAAAGAAAAGCAGCAGGUUAAUACCCCGCUGUUCUGACGGUACCCAAAGAAUAAGCACCGGCUAACUUCGUG
Molecule: ribosomal RNA, 492 nt
Filed under: uncultured bacterium
Lineage: Bacteria
Description: partial 16S ribosomal RNA
Rfam family: Bacterial small subunit ribosomal RNA
Source: RNAcentral